Molecule: ribosomal RNA, 381 nt
Filed under: Podarcis muralis (Common wall lizard)
Lineage: Eukaryota; Metazoa; Chordata; Lepidosauria; Squamata; Lacertidae
Description: partial 16S ribosomal RNA
Rfam family: Bacterial large subunit ribosomal RNA
Source: RNAcentral
ACUAGAAUGAACGGCUAAAUGAAGACAAAACUGUCUCUUACGGACUAGCCAAUGAAAUUGAUCCUCCAGUACAAAAGCUGGAAUAAACACAUAAGACGAGAAGACCCUGUGGAGCUUCAAAACCAAAACCACUAAAUAUGGCCCUUGGUUUUUUAGUUGGGGCGACUUUGGAGUAAAAAAAACCCUCCAAAAACCAAUCUAUUUAUUAAGACUAACACAUCAAAAAUAAUUUUUAGACCCAGCAACAUUUGUUUGUCUGAUCAAUGAACCAAGUUACCCCAGGGAUAACAGCGCCAUCCUCUUCUAGAGUCCCUAUCGACAAGAGGGUUUACGACCUCGAUGUUGGAUCAGGACACCCCUAUAGUGCAGCCGCUAUAAAAG